Long non-coding RNA from Macadamia integrifolia, 539 nucleotides. RefSeq lists it as uncharacterized. The record is from RefSeq and is a predicted model, not a curated record. NCBI's taxonomy places the organism in Eukaryota, Viridiplantae, Streptophyta, Magnoliopsida, Proteales, Proteaceae. The transcript is spliced from 3 exons.
UUGCAUAUAUAUAUCCUAAGAUUCACAAUCAUGAUUCAUAUUCCCAUGGCACAACUACCAUAUCCUAAACCACUAACAACACCAACUUCACCAAAUACUACUCCACCACCACCACCUUAUCUCUUUUCUUCAUUACCUGUAAUUCUAAUGAUAAUACUGUUGUCCUUUCGCGUGAUACCAGGCAAUUCGGAGAUCCUUUAUUCAUUCAUAUUUUUUCCCCCUUUUUAGGUUGGAAAGUUGGUGUUGAUUUUGUGACCUUCAAACUACCUCUCCUACAACCUAUUAGUACAUAUGGUUCAUGCCACCAUGAUAUAUUAAUUCCUUGUUGCAGCCAUGGUAAAAAGGCAGCCAAGUGGUGAUUGCUUAGGAGAGACAGGUGAAAGCAUUGGAAAAAAGUUUCGGAGGUACUUUGAACAGAUGUGAAUAUAUAUAUAUAUAUAUAUAUUUAUAUAUAAAUCAGAUUUGUAUUACGAAGUUGGAAGAUAUGCUUUUUAGUAGACUAUGAGGUGGUCCUUCUAAUAAAAUGGAAUAUUUAGGUA